This 303-nucleotide ribosomal RNA is filed under the name uncultured bacterium. RNAcentral describes it as "partial 16S ribosomal RNA". It matches the Rfam family "Bacterial small subunit ribosomal RNA", at positions 507 to 807 of the family's 1533-position model. The record is from RNAcentral.
AGCAGUCGCCGCGGGAACACAGAGGGUGCGAGCGUUAAUCGGAUUUACUGGGCGUAAAGCGUGCGUAGGCGGCUUUUUAAGUCGGAUGUGAAAUCCCUGAGCUUAACUUAGGAAUUGCAUUCGAUACUGGGAAGCUAGAGUAUGGGAGAGGAUGGUAGAAUUCCAGGUGUAGCGGUGAAAUGCGUAGAGAUCUGGAGGAAUACCGAUGGCGAAGGCAGCCAUCUGGCCUAAUACUGACGCUGAGGUACGAAAGCAUGGGGAGCAAACAGGAUUAGAUACCCCGGUAGUCCCUGUCUCUUAUAC